AGCAUUCGCUCCAUCCAGUCGAUGAUGUCUGUGGCGAUCUCAUCACGCUCAGGCUCAAAGAGCAGAUCGUGCAAGAACCCAUCGUACAGCCUCAGAUCCUUGUGCCUCGAUGAGGCCUCGUUGUAGAGGUCCUGUGAAGCCAGGGGGUCGGUCACCCGGUCUGCGGUUCCAUGGAGGACCAUGAAUGGGACGGUGACCUUCUUCAAGUUGUGCAGCAGGUAGGAGGAGAUGCGUAGGAUUUCAUGGCCGGUCCGAACUCUGAUCGGCCCGGUGUAAACCAGCGGAUCGGAGUACUUCGCUAGCAGGGCAGCCGGGUCGCGGGACACCGGGAUGCCUCUCUUGUUAGCUCCCUUGAACUGAAACUUUGGGUAUCAGAAAAAGCAGCAUUACCCCUACAAUGGGAUGAGCAGGUUUUACACGCAGAGCUGGUGAAGUUAGGAUGAUGCCUUCCAGUUUUGCUCUGAUACGAGGGAACAAUGAUGCCUGGAAAAUACCAGCUAUUGAUAAGCACAAGGGAAAGAAGAACAUGAAGCAUGUAAAAUGAACAUAUCUGCAGCCAAACCAUUUCAAGUUUUCAACCAGGCUAUUUUGUUAAUGCUUUGCACCAUUGCUCUGCCCGUCACGAUAUCCAUUAUUCACAGGCCCAGAGGAGUAGGGUCAGUUUCUAAACCUGGCCUAAAUAGAGCUGAGAAAAACUACU
This 700-nucleotide small RNA is filed under the name Oryza sativa Japonica Group (Japanese rice). RNAcentral's name for it is "sRNA Os01g0199550". The record is from RNAcentral. Lineage: Eukaryota; Viridiplantae; Streptophyta; Magnoliopsida; Poales; Poaceae.